Molecule: long non-coding RNA, 523 nt
Organism: Vicia villosa (hairy vetch)
Lineage: Eukaryota; Viridiplantae; Streptophyta; Magnoliopsida; Fabales; Fabaceae
Exons: 3
Source: RefSeq, a predicted model, not a curated record
UUUUUUGUUUCAGUUUUACGCCGAGUCGGACUGCUGCUAGGGUUGUUAACUAUAUAAUUCAGCAGAUGUAUAAAUCAGCUUUUAAGAGCUAUGGGGACGUCAAAAAUAAAGAUGAAUGGUUUAGAAUGUUUAAGGAGAAAUGUGUGUGGGAUCCUUUGAGUGAAAAAAGUGUUCAGAAAGUUUUCAAUACCAGAUGCUCUAAAAGAAUGUCUGAUAUGCUGCGGCGAGUAAGGGAGAAUUAUGAGCUUCAUGGCAUCCGUCCUAACUAGAUAGGCGAGGAGGUUUUUCAUGAGCUUGUUACAUAUUGGAGGAGUCCAGAAUUCCGGGCUAAAUCAGAAACUUUUAAGAAGAUGAGGGCAUCUGAAAAGGGCGGUUGUGUCAACACAGUUGGAAGUAUUAGCACCGCCGAGCAUGCCCGACGAUUGGCUAAGGAGUUGGGGAGAAAACCAUUGAUGCCUGAGCUGAUUUCGAGGACCCGGACAAGGAGAUCGGGAGGUUUUGUCGACGAGCGCACGAAGUUGUA